UUUACAAACAAUUUAAACCCCCAAAAAAGGCGCCAGAUUUUUAAAGCUUGACACCACUACACUCCUAUAAAUAUUCAUUUCCUAACACAACAUUCUACACUUCUAAACUAAAAUCUUCAUACUAAAAUUCCAGACGGCAGAAUGCACUUGAGGGGUCUUGAAGAUGAUAAGAAGAUGAUGGUUGUCCAAUUUCUCUCAAAACUCGAAAGAUGGCAAACCCAAAUACGGCAAAAUGAAAGAAGCCGACGUCAAAUUCAACUUAGGGAGUUG
RNAcentral lists this long non-coding RNA (270 nucleotides) under Salvia miltiorrhiza (redroot sage). RNAcentral's name for it is "long non-coding RNA (SMIL_LNC004253)". The record is from RNAcentral. Lineage: Eukaryota; Viridiplantae; Streptophyta; Magnoliopsida; Lamiales; Lamiaceae.